This 374-nucleotide ribosomal RNA is filed under the name uncultured prokaryote. Its description in RNAcentral is "bacterial SSU rRNA". It matches the Rfam family "Bacterial small subunit ribosomal RNA", at positions 524 to 896 of the family's 1533-position model. The record is from RNAcentral.
UACGGGGGGAGCAAGCGUUGUUCGGAGUUAUUGGGCGUAAAGGGCGUACAGGCGGCGAUGUAAGUCAGAUGUGAAAUGUUCCGGCUCAACCGGGACCCUGCAUUUGAUACUGCAUCACUUGAGUACAGGAGAGGAGAGCGGAAUUCCCGGUGUAGCGGUGGAAUGUGUAGAUAUCGGGAAGAACACCAGUGGCGAAGGCGGCUCUCUGGCCUGAUACUGACGCUGACGCGCGAAAGCUAGGGAAGCAAACAGGAUUAGAUACCCUGGUAGUCCUAGCCGUAAACGUUGGGUACUAGGUGUUGGAGGUAUCGACCCCUUCAGUGCCGAAGCUAACGCAUUAAGUACCCCGCCUGGGGAGUACGGCCGCAAGGUUG